UGCAGUCGUACGAGAGUUUUUACUCAAGUGGCGGACGGGUGAGUAACACGUAAGAAUUUGCCUUUAGGAGGGGGACAACAACUGGAAACGGUUGCUAAUACCCCAUAUGCUUUCGAGUGAAACGGUUUUUCCGCCUAAAGAGAAGCUUGCGGCUGAUUAGCUUGUUGGUAAGGUAAUGGCUUACCAAGGCGACGAUCAGUAUCUGGUUUGAGAGGACGAUCAGACACACUGGAACUGAGACACGGUCCAGACUCCUACGGGAGGCAGCAGUGGGGAAUUUUCCGCAAUGGGCGAAAGCCUGACGGAGCAAUACCGCGUGAGGGAUGAAUGCCUAUGGGUUGUAAACCUCUUUUUUUCAGGGAGGAAUCAAUGACGUUACCUGAAGAAUAAGCAUCGGCUAACUCCGUGCCAGCAGCCGCGGUAAUACG
RNAcentral lists this ribosomal RNA (428 nucleotides) under uncultured organism. Its description in RNAcentral is "bacterial SSU rRNA". It matches the Rfam family "Bacterial small subunit ribosomal RNA", at positions 56 to 527 of the family's 1533-position model. The record is from RNAcentral.